This 727-nucleotide long non-coding RNA is filed under the name Rattus norvegicus (Norway rat). RNAcentral's name for it is "long non-coding RNA NONRATT014170". Lineage: Eukaryota; Metazoa; Chordata; Mammalia; Rodentia; Muridae. The record is from RNAcentral.
CAGAUAUUUCCCGGCUCUGUCGGAACGGCUACUACACCCCCACGGGCAAGUGCUGCUGCAGUCCUGGCUGGGAGGGAGACUUCUGCAGAAUUGCCAAAUGUGAGCCACCUUGUCGUCACGGAGGUGUCUGUGUCAGACCAAACAAGUGCCUCUGUAAAAAGGGCUAUCUCGGCCCUCAGUGUGAACGAGCGGACAGGAGCAUGCGCAGAGUGACCAGGGCAGGUAUUCUUGACCAGAUCAUUGACGUGACGUCUUACUUGCUGGAUCUCACAAGUUACAUCGUAUAGUUUCUGGGACGGUUUGAGUCUAUCUUUCCGGUGGGCAUUCCGAUCUUGUCAUGAAAAAAGAGAGACUGUCCUUCCGCUACACACUCCUGCGACUUCAUUUCCUUUCGGUAAUUUAAAAGCAAUCUCCAGAAAUGUACAGGUCUCAGCAUGUAUGUUGGAACGUUUUUUUCACAUCUGCACAUGCACUCACAGCCCCAGACUCAAGGUUGUAUAACAGAAGGGUGUUUUGUUUUGUUUUUAAUAUCUACUCUCUUGGCGUGUACUUUGCACAGAAGUUCCACUGCAAAUUGAUCACAGAGUUUCUUAUGGCAUCAGAAGAUAUUCUUUUACGUUUCGGGAAAUUUCUGUCUGUGAUUACUAAAGUCAACCUUCCUAGGGUUUUAAAAUGUUAUUGUGCAAUGUGGUGGGGGUAUUUUUAUAUUAAAGGUCUAUAAUGAGAG